RNAcentral lists this ribosomal RNA (253 nucleotides) under uncultured bacterium. Its description in RNAcentral is "partial 16S ribosomal RNA". It matches the Rfam family "Bacterial small subunit ribosomal RNA", at positions 524 to 776 of the family's 1533-position model. The record is from RNAcentral.
UACGAAGGUGGCAAGCGUUGUUCGGAUUUACUGGGCGUAAAGGGAGCGUAGGUGGUUAGGUAAGCCCUCCGGGAAAUCUUCAGGCUUAACCUGAAAAGGUCGGGGGGGACUGCCUAGCUAGAGGGCGGGAGAGGAGCGCGGAAUUCCCGGUGUAGCGGUGAAAUGCGCAGAUAUCAGGAGGAACACCGGUGGCGAAGGCGGGUCUCUGGGCCGAUACUGACGCUGAGGAGCGAAAGCGUGGGGAGCAAACAGG